AUACUUACCUGGCAGGGGGAAUGCCGUGAAAAGAAGGUAUUUGGCCUAGAGUGAGUCUCUUCCAUUGCACACACCUGUUGGUUUGAUCCCUGUGGUUUCCCCAACUGUGAAAAACUCAACUGCAUAAAUGAUGGUAGUGGAGCACUGCAUUUGUGCAUUCACCUG
Small nuclear RNA from Protopterus annectens (West African lungfish), 165 nucleotides. RefSeq annotates it as U1 spliceosomal RNA. The record is from RefSeq and is a predicted model, not a curated record. NCBI's taxonomy places the organism in Eukaryota, Metazoa, Chordata, Ceratodontiformes, Protopteridae. The transcript has a single exon.